RNAcentral lists this ribosomal RNA (468 nucleotides) under uncultured bacterium. Its description in RNAcentral is "partial 16S ribosomal RNA". It matches the Rfam family "Bacterial small subunit ribosomal RNA", at positions 28 to 507 of the family's 1533-position model. The record is from RNAcentral.
GACGAACGCUGGCGGCGUGCUUAACACAUGCAAGUCGAACGGAAAGGCCCUGCUUUUGUGGGGUGCUCGAGUGGCGAACGGGUGAGUAACACGUGAGUAACCUGCCCUUGACUUUGGGAUAACUUCAGGAAACUGGGGCUAAUACCGGAUAGGAGCUCCUGCUGCAUGGUGGGGGUUGGAAAGUUUCGGCGGUUGGGGAUGGACCCGCGGCUUAUCAGCUUGUUGGUGGGGUAGUGGCUUACCAAGGCUUUGGCGGGUAGCCGGCCUGAGAGGGUGACCGGCCACAUUGGGACUGAGGUACGGCCCAGACUCCUACGGGAGGCCGCAGUGGCGAAUAUUGCACAAUGGGCGGAAGCCUGAUGCAGCAACGCCGCGUGCGGGAUGACGGCCUUCGGGUUGUAACCCGCUUUCGCCUGUGACGAAGCGUGAGUGACGGUAAUGGGUAAAGAAGCACCGGCUAACUACGUG